RNAcentral lists this ribosomal RNA (408 nucleotides) under bacterium enrichment culture clone ALO1_GLFRUDD03GEEAD. RNAcentral's name for it is "bacterial SSU rRNA". It matches the Rfam family "Bacterial small subunit ribosomal RNA", at positions 9 to 417 of the family's 1533-position model. The record is from RNAcentral.
GAGUUUGAUCUUGGCUCAGAUUGAACGCUGGCGGCAUGCCUUACACAUGCAAGUCGAACGGCAGCACGGGAGCUUGCUCCUGGUGGCGAGUGGCGAACGGGUGAGUAAUGCAUCGGAACGUAUCCUGGAGUGGGGGAUAACGUAGCGAAAGUUACGCUAAUACCGCAUAUUCUGUGAGCAGGAAAGCGGGGGACCUUCGGGCCUCGCGCUCUUGGAGCGGCCGAUGUCGGAUUAGCUAGUUGGUGAGGUAAAGGCUCACCAAGGCGACGAUCCGUAGCAGGUCUGAGAGGAUGAUCUGCCACACUGGAACUGAGACACGGUCCAGACUCCUACGGGAGGCAGCAGUGGGGAAUUUUGGACAAUGGGGGCAACCCUGAUCCAGCCAUGCCGCAUGAGUGAAGAAGGCCU